CAGACCUCGCGGGAGCGCAGGGUGAAGAGACAGACAGCCUGAGGGAGAUAGGGAAGAUGGAAAAGGAGAGGACAGUCCCCGUGCAAGACAGGUCCUCUUCCCCCAUUCAGCAUCUCUGCAAUGAAGUUUAACUUCCUAAGCAUCAUGAACUUCUUAAGCAUCUUGAGAGCUGGAGGCAGAGAUCUCCACAGUCCUAGGACUGGCAGUUCAAGACGCAAGGGCUCUGGGUCCUCGAAUUGCCAUGUGGAGGAAUGCUGACUGCCUACCAGAAACAUUCACAUUGAAUUUUUAGAGAAAAGUAAGAGGCAGAGAUCCUGAAAGCUGAGGCCAACGGGUACCUGCAUGUAUUUCUGCAGAUUGAUUCCAACGGGAUGGACGUUCAUCAAUUGCCUGAGGAAGAAUUGAUUUUUCAGUUUAGUCCUUAUCAUUCACAGAGGAAAGAAUAUGAAGAUUUUUGCCUUUAGAAGAUGAAAGAUCAUGAAGAGAAUGUGAAAUGAAUGGAUGCUCAUUUUUAAUAUGAUACCCUUUCUGAAAAAUCAAUAUGGCUAAAAUAUAUUUGCAGUAAUUUUAGGGGGUGUCUUCUUUUAUAUCUAGCAAAUCUAAAUCAGAGAGAAAAUAUUUGUUAACUUUAUUUAAAUUGAAAAACAAAAAACCAAUAAAGUUCUCUCCAAGAGAGAAAAACGUGAAGC
Molecule: long non-coding RNA, 689 nt
Filed under: Equus caballus (horse)
Lineage: Eukaryota; Metazoa; Chordata; Mammalia; Perissodactyla; Equidae
Description: lncRNA (ENSECAG00000059065.1)
Source: RNAcentral